RNAcentral lists this long non-coding RNA (1035 nucleotides) under Solanum tuberosum (potato). RNAcentral describes it as "long non-coding RNA (STUB_LNC011921)". Lineage: Eukaryota; Viridiplantae; Streptophyta; Magnoliopsida; Solanales; Solanaceae. The record is from RNAcentral.
AAACAAAAGAUUUAAUUAAAAUGAAACAUGGCCAAUAUAUUUGAUUAGUAAGAUAAAACAAAAACAAAUAUAAGAAUGUAUUAAAGGUAAGCCAAUGUAAAAAAAAAAUUAAUUUAUCGUUUGGGGAAUUUAAUUAGGUUAGUUAACAAUUUAAAAGUUAGAGUCAACACGCAAUAAACAAUAAAUAAUCAUAAUUAAAUAAUUAAAGAGUAGGGAGAAAUUGAAUUUGGGCCUCCUUUUGGGCCAAAUUCGCUGAAAUUGGGGCUUAGGCUCAAUCCCGUUUUUGUAUACACUGGUUGUAUACCAGUGUAUAUCGUAUGAAUCCAGCCCAUUUUUUUGUAUAUAAGGCCGUAUACCAAAUGUAUACAACCUAAUCCAACUUCCAGAACAGCUGUUUCGAUUUUUGGACCUGUAUAUCGCUGCUUUUUCCAUGUAUACCAUGUAUACAAAAUCUGUAUACCAGUGUAUACCAGCCUUUCCCUGCGUUUUUUGCUUCCAUUUACCCUGUAUUUUAGCUUCCUUUUCAACUUGUUGCGGGCAGCUGAACCGGGACAAUAUUGAGCAGGGAGACAGCAAGGACAAGUUUUCACCACUGAAAGGGAUUCCGAACACUUCGGCAGACUCCGACAACACGAGAAAAGAGGAACCGAACUAAUAGACGACUUAGAUCUUUUCUAAGUUAUUUCGAAAUGCUUCUGUUCAACUAUUCUCUCUAUUUGCUAGUUUAUCCGAUGUCCAAAACCAACGCCCCUCUUUCUUAUCCUAAAAUUUUCAACCAAAAUCCUCCACUCCAAAAAAAAAAUCCCCCCUUAUCCCUUUCAACAGUUGACCAUAUAUAGGAGGGCAAUAGGGUUCGGGAAUGGGGGGAAAACGGAUCCAAAUUUGGACAAAAGGAGGCCAAAUUCAAAUUCAAACUUCAAAAUUUCUUUCACCAAAUUAGGCGAACACCUUUUCUUGCAAUUUUCACCCCAUUCCGGAAGAGGAAAGGGGGCAGACGCAUGCUCUGUCCCGCUGUUGCGUGUGUCAACGCGUUUG